This is a long non-coding RNA of Sander lucioperca (pikeperch), 921 nucleotides long. RefSeq lists it as uncharacterized. Lineage: Eukaryota; Metazoa; Chordata; Actinopteri; Perciformes; Percidae. The record is from RefSeq and is a predicted model, not a curated record. The transcript is spliced from 2 exons.
UCAUCAUGUGGUUGUUUGUUAACAGUUAAAAUAACUUUUAACUGAAGUUUAAUUUCCCGUUCAUCACUGCUGGUUGUUAUAAAGAGUUACUGCUCCUCUGAUCUCUGUUGUCAGAGUGUUUCUGGUUCUACAGGAUUCUUUCUGUCUCCUCCUCCUCCUCCUCCUCCUCCUGAUAAAGCUGAAACAGGUUUGUUGUUUUGCUGUCAGAGACAAAGGUUUCAGUCGACACACAUGAUAAGAUGUCUGGGUGUCCCAGAGGUCUUCCAGGUCCAGCUGGAGCGUGAGAAACCCUCCAAUCAGAGCAGUCCAGUACGUAAGUCUUUCACUUUUUAAUGUUCAUAUUGUGUUGAGUUCAGGGAGCAGAGAGUCUGUCUGUUUUCUCUCCACAUUAGUUAUCUGCUCAGCCAGCUGCUGUAACUUCACUCUGUGCUAUUAUUACUUUUACUGCAGUAACAUGUCUGAAUACUUGCUUUAAUCUCAGAAGGAAAGCUUGUACUUGUUAUUGUCCUCCAUUUAUCUGACAGCGUGUUACUCUGCACAUUCACAGUUUGCACACAAAGUCUGAAUCAGCAGUAAAACAUGAUGUAAUGUUCCAGAGAAUCAGCUCUCUCACUGCUACUUCUACAUCAAGUUCAUUUAGUAACAGAGCAGGACGUUGGACAGAGUAUUUUCACCGUGUAGUAUUAAUAGUUUGGAGUACUUCUUCCACUGCGUCACUGAGUCUGUUUAAUGAUAAAGUUUGUUCAUCACAUUUAAAACAUGUUGGAACUCGACGUGUGGAAAGUUCCUUGUGUUGCAUUCACAGGAUGAAGGAAGAACAAACACACACUGACAACAACAACCACAGUUACACAGAGAGAAGACACAAAGCUCUUAUUGUGAAAAUCUGCUUCCUGAUAGGUGGAGCUGUGACUCAUCAGA